This 432-nucleotide ribosomal RNA is filed under the name uncultured bacterium. Its description in RNAcentral is "partial 16S ribosomal RNA". It matches the Rfam family "Bacterial small subunit ribosomal RNA", at positions 29 to 506 of the family's 1533-position model. The record is from RNAcentral.
AACGAACGCUGGCGGCAUGCCUAACACAUGCAAGUCGAACGAGACCUUCGGGUCUAGUGGCGCACGGGUGCGUAACGCGUGGGAACCUGCCCUUAGGUUCGGAAUAACUCCCCGAAAGGGGUGCUAAUACCGGAUAAUGUCUUCGGACCAAAGAUUUAUCGCCUUUGGAUGGGCCCGCGUUGGAUUAGCUAGUUGGUAGGGUAAAAGCCUACCAAGGCGACGAUCCAUAGCUGGUCUGAGAGGAUGAUCAGCCACACUGGGACUGAGACACGGCCCAGACUCCUACGGGAGGCAGCAGUGGGGAAUAUUGGAAAAGGGGCGAAAGCCUGACCAAGCAAGGCCGCGGGGUUGAUGAAGGCCUUGGGGUUGUAAAGCUCUUUUCCCCGGGAUGAUAAUGACAGUACCGGGAGAAAAAGCCCCGGCGAACCCCGU